This 431-nucleotide ribosomal RNA is filed under the name uncultured bacterium. RNAcentral's name for it is "bacterial SSU rRNA". It matches the Rfam family "Bacterial small subunit ribosomal RNA", at positions 29 to 507 of the family's 1533-position model. The record is from RNAcentral.
AACGAACGCUGGCGGCAGGCCUAACACAUGCAAGUCGAGCGCACCCUUCGGGGCGAGCGGCGGACGGGUUAGUAACGCGUGGGAACGUACCCUUUUCUAUGGAAUAGCCUCGGGAAACUGAGAGUAAUACCAUAUAAGCCCUUCGGGGAAAGAUUUAUCGGGAAGGAUCGGCCCGCGUUAGAUUAGAUAGUUGGUGGGGUAAUGGCCUACCAAGUCUACGAUCUAUAGCUGGUUUUAGAGGAUGAUCAGCAACACUGGGACUGAGACACGGCCCAGACUCCUACGGGAGGCAGCAGUGGGGAAUCUUAGACAAUGGGCGCAAGCCUGAUCUAGCCAUGCCGCGUGUGUGAUGAAGGUCUUAGGAUCGUAAAGCACUUUCGCCAGGGAUGAUAAUGACAGUACCUGGUAAAGAAACCCCGGCUAACUCCGUG